UCAGGGGUAGCUUAAUUGGUAGAGCACCUGACUCUGAAUCAGGUGGUUAUAGGUUCGAGUCCUAUCUCCUGAG
RNAcentral lists this transfer RNA (73 nucleotides) under candidate division SR1 bacterium RAAC1_SR1_1. RNAcentral's name for it is "tRNA-Gln (CTG) (tRNA-Gln-CTG-1-1)". It matches the Rfam family "tRNA". Rfam says of the family: Transfer RNA (tRNA) molecules are approximately 80 nucleotides in length. Their secondary structure includes four short double-helical elements and three loops (D, anti-codon, and T loops). The record is from Rfam by way of RNAcentral. RNAcentral also lists the same sequence under 1 other name. Lineage: Bacteria; Candidatus Absconditibacteriota.